AGAGAGUGUGGCCUGCUUCUCAGCGAGAUGUAUUAUAUCUUUCUGCCAUUCGAAAAAUACCAGCCUUGACUGAAAAUGACCCUGAAACUUGGAUAGUGUGUAAUUUUUCUGUGGAUCAUGACAGUGCUCCUCUAAACAAUCGAUGUGUCCGUGCCAAAAUAAAUAUUGCUAUGAUUUGUCAAACCUUGGUAAGCCCACCAGAGGGAAACCAGGAGAUCAGCAGGGACAACAUUCUAUGCAAGAUUACAUAUGUAGCUAAUGUGAACCCUGGAGGAUGGGCACCAGCCUCAGUAUUAAGGGCAGUGGCAAAGCGAGAGUAUCCGAAGUUUCUAAAACGUUUUACGUCUUAUGUCCAAGAAAAAACUGCAGGAAAACCCAUUCUGUUCUAGUGUUAACAG
Molecule: long non-coding RNA, 398 nt
Organism: Nyctereutes procyonoides (raccoon dog)
Lineage: Eukaryota; Metazoa; Chordata; Mammalia; Carnivora; Canidae
Exons: 3
Source: RefSeq, a predicted model, not a curated record